CCCUGCCAUUUGUACACACCGCCCGUCGCUGCUACCGAUUUUGAGUGAUCCGGUGAACCUUCUGGACUGUAUCGGGGCUUGACCCCGACGUGGGAAAUUAAGUAAACCUUAUCACUUAGAGGAAGCAGAAGUCG
This 134-nucleotide ribosomal RNA is filed under the name uncultured eukaryote. RNAcentral's name for it is "partial small subunit ribosomal RNA". It matches the Rfam family "Eukaryotic small subunit ribosomal RNA", at positions 1651 to 1791 of the family's 1831-position model. The record is from RNAcentral.